CGGGUAAACGAGGAGCUAAUACCGGAUAAUAUAUUGAACCGCAUGGUUCAAUAGUGAAAGACGGUUUUGCUGUCACUUAUAGAUGGAUCCGCGCCGCAUUAGCUAGUUGGUAAGGUAACGGCUUACCAAGGCAACGAUGCGUAGCCGACCUGAGAGGGUGAUCGGCCACACUGGAACUGAGACACGGUCCAGACUCCUACGGGAGGCAGCAGCU
RNAcentral lists this ribosomal RNA (214 nucleotides) under uncultured Staphylococcus sp. RNAcentral describes it as "partial 16S ribosomal RNA". It matches the Rfam family "Bacterial small subunit ribosomal RNA", at positions 139 to 355 of the family's 1533-position model. The record is from RNAcentral. Lineage: Bacteria; Bacillati; Bacillota; Bacilli; Caryophanales; Staphylococcaceae.